Molecule: ribosomal RNA, 121 nt
Filed under: Austrostipa trichophylla
Lineage: Eukaryota; Viridiplantae; Streptophyta; Magnoliopsida; Poales; Poaceae
Description: partial 5.8S ribosomal RNA
Rfam family: 5.8S ribosomal RNA
About the family: 5.8S ribosomal RNA (5.8S rRNA) is a component of the large subunit of the eukaryotic ribosome. It is transcribed by RNA polymerase I as part of the 45S precursor that also contains 18S and 28S rRNA.
Source: RNAcentral
AAGAACGUAGCGAAAUGCGAUACCUGGUGUGAAUUGCAGAAUCCCGCGAACCAUCGAGUCUUUGAACGCAAGUUGCGCCCGAGGCCACCCGGCUGAGGGCACGCCUGCCUGGGCGUCACGC